AAUAGAUACCCCGGUAGUCCACGCCCUAAACGAUGUCAACUGGUUGUUGGAAGGGUUCCCUUUCAGUAACGAAGCUAACGCGUGAAGUUGACCGCCUGGGGAGUACGGCCGCAAGGUUGAAACCCAAAGGAAUUGACGGGGACCCGCACAAGCGGUGGAUGAUGUGGUUUAAUUCGAUGCAACGCGAAAAACCUUACCUACCCUUGACAUGUCUGGAAUCCCGAAGAGAUUUGGGAGUGCUCGAAAGAGAACCAGAACACAGGUGCUGCAUGGCCGUCGUCAGCUCGUGUCGUGAGAUGUUGGGUUAAGUCCCGCAACGAGCGCAACCCUUGUCAUUAGUUGCUACGAAAGGGCACUCUAAUGAGACUGCCGGUGACAAACCGGAGGAAGGUGGGGAUGACGUCAGGUCCUCAUGGCCCUUAUGGGUAGGGCUACACACGUCAUACGAUGGCCGGUACAGAGGGCUGCCAACCCGCGAGGGGGAGCUAAUCCCAGAAAACCGGUCGUAGUCCGGAUCGCAGUCUGCAACUCGACUGCGUGAAGUCGGAAUCGCGU
RNAcentral lists this ribosomal RNA (555 nucleotides) under uncultured bacterium. Its description in RNAcentral is "bacterial SSU rRNA". It matches the Rfam family "Bacterial small subunit ribosomal RNA", at positions 777 to 1337 of the family's 1533-position model. The record is from RNAcentral.